RNAcentral lists this ribosomal RNA (153 nucleotides) under Peribacillus simplex. RNAcentral describes it as "Bacillus simplex partial 23S ribosomal RNA". It matches the Rfam family "Bacterial large subunit ribosomal RNA", at positions 2774 to 2925 of the family's 2925-position model. Lineage: Bacteria; Bacillati; Bacillota; Bacilli; Caryophanales; Bacillaceae. The record is from RNAcentral.
AAAGCAUCUAAGCAUGAAGCCCCCCUCAAGAUGAGAUUUCCCAUGGCGCAAGCUAGUAAGAUCCCUGAAAGAUGAUCAGGUUGAUAGGUCAGAGGUGGAAGCGUGGCGACAUGUGGAGCUGACUGAUACUAAUAGAUCGAGGACUUAACCAAC